CCUACGGGUGGCAGCAGUGGGGAAUAUUGCGCAAUGGGCGAAAGCCUGACGCAGCGACGCCGCGUGAGGGAUGAAGGUCUUCGGAUCGUAAACCUCUGUCAGUGGGGACGAAACCUGACGGUACCCACAGAGGAAGCACCGGCUAACUCCGUGCCAGCAGCCGCGGUAAUACGGGGGGUGCAAGCGUUGUCCGGAAUCAUUGGGCGUAAAGAGUUCGUAGGUGGCACGUUAAGUCUGGUGUUAAAGGCGGAAGCUCAACUUCCGUAGGGCACUGGAUACUGGCGAGCUUGAAUGCGGUAGAGGUAAAGGGAAUUCCUGGUGUAGCGGUGAAAUGCGUAGAUAUCAGGAGGAACAUCGGUGGCGUAAGCGCUUUACUGGGCCGUAAUUGACACUGAGGAACGAAAGCCGGGGUAGCAAAUGGGAUUAGAUACCCGUGUAGUC
RNAcentral lists this ribosomal RNA (441 nucleotides) under uncultured bacterium. Its description in RNAcentral is "partial 16S ribosomal RNA". It matches the Rfam family "Bacterial small subunit ribosomal RNA", at positions 338 to 795 of the family's 1533-position model. The record is from RNAcentral.